AUGUGCCCAUUAAUUUCAUAUGGCAGGCUAAACAUUUUGCGCGGGUAAAAAGUAAACGGCACAUGGGUGAAAAAAAGAAAGAAUAUCGAGAACAGAAAAGAGUAAAAUAUGAAAAACAGAGAGCGGAGAGAGCCGAACGCAGCAUGAGCAAAGCUAACCGAGCAUGCAAAGCAGCGCACGACGAUGGCGAAGUGAACGAAGCCAGACGACGACGACGACAACGAUGAUGACACGAUUGUUGGUGCAGUGCGAGGGGGAAGGGGGAUCAGCUUGGAGCGCAGCCAGUUGGAAUUGCACGCGACAAAGGCGAUGCAUGACCAAAACGCGAAAACGAAAAAGAGAACGAGAAAGAGAAGAGGCGGCAACGAUGACGACACAAAAAGCAGCAGCGUCGUUUCUGCUGCUGCUGCUGUCUCUGCUGCUGUUGUCUCUGCUGUCUCGUUGUGCCGGCUGAGGGCUGCUGCUGUUUGCUGGCUGGCUGACUGCUGAGCAGUCGUCAGUCAGUUGGCCAAGAAACUGGUAGCGUCGGUGUUGUGAGCCAACAAAAGGCUGGCAACUGGCAAUUGGCAACUGGCAGCUGGGCAGUUGGCUGCUGCUGGCUGCUUGCUUGCUUGGCACCGGCAACCAAAAGAAAGCACCGUGCGAAUACACAAAAUCAAAAUGUGUGUGUUGGCCACAGGGCACGGCAUUGGCUUUGGCUAUGGCUUUGGCUCUGUUUGACUGUUUUGAGCGACGCGUAGCCAGCCAAGAAAAGUGGCCAGCAGCAGAAGCAGCAGCCGAGUCCGUCAGGAAGCCAGCCAAAAGCCAUUGCCAGCGAGCCAGCCAGCCAACAACCAAGUAGCAGCAACAGCAAUUACUGCUGGCCAACAAGGUGGUGAUGGUGAAGGUCCAAGAUGAUGAUGAUGAUGACGACGCAGCGACAGCAACUGCUGCCAAGCAGCAGCGCAGGAUGUGAUGACAGACGACGAGAAGAAGGAGGCACAUUUUCUUUUUGGCCGCUAAACGCAGUUUGAUUAGCCAAGUCAAACACAACAAAUGCGCUGACCCAAGAUCAGCCCAGAAUGGAUGCCAAUUGACAGCUAUAACACACACACUCGCUCACACACACACGGGCAGUUGUGGACAUGCAGUGGCGCAGCGGAGCAGCAGCAGCAAACAAGAACCGCAGUCGGAGCUGCGCCGCAGGAUGCGUUCGUCUCGAUUAUACAGCAUAAAAAACAAUUAAACAAACAAAAACAAAAUACGUGUCGCGCUGCAACAACAACAACCAACAUCGCGCUGUGUGCGCCACAAGUGCAAGUGUGUGUGUGUGUGUGUGUUUGUGUGUAAAGUGUGUGAUUGUGCGACAACCUUUUGAACUGACCAACGUGCGCCGCCAACUCGGGCAGCCAAUAAAACCAAAAAAAAAACACGCAAAGCUGCGCCAAUGGAGCAACUGGCGAAGCGCCCAAAACAGCAACAACAACAACAACAAUAGUCGUAGUAAUAGCCAAGUCCAUAACCAUUGUUUCAAACAGGCCAACUAAUGAUUUGUCAGCCAUGUCAGAGCCAUGGCGCAAAUUGGCCCCGCAAGCAAAAGGCAAAGGCAAACGCGUGCGAAACCUCAAAGGAUGCGCAUCAAGCGAACAUUGCGCAUACGCCGCGUGCAACACCCAUUCAAAAAUAACCAACUUCUACUUAAUACAACGUAGUGUAUAAUAACAAUACCACUUGAUUACAAUACUUCAAACUUAAUACAACUAGUGUUUAGUGCUUACAACAAAAAAAAAAAAAAAACAAUGAGAAAAAUACAACAAAAAAAUAUGUAGCAAACGUAGCGUUUACUUCAAAGCAACUUAUAUAACCACAAAACUAUGAUAUAAUAUCCCCCCAACUUAUAAGCAUUAGUGCAAUAUAUAAAUAUAUUGGUAAUUGUACUUGAUCGUGAUUAACGUUUAGUUCAACUACUUGGUAAAUGAAAGCACUCGUAGACAAUUCUUAAUAACGAAACAAAACAAAAGAAAACAACCAAACCGAAAAUGAUCGUCAGAUAGAGUUUUACGCGUCGCUGGCAAAAACGUUGCGGACCUUUCAAUGAAUGGUGAUGACAGCUCGUGGAAAUGGAAAUCGUGCGAGGAAAAGCAAAUGUAGAUAGGAAGACAACUGAGCGGUUAAUAGAGUGGACAAUGGCGAUGCGCUAAAGGAGCCUCGUUUUGGCCAAUUGGCGGCGACGGCCGCUGCAACGAAGUCUAAGGCCUGACCAACCAAAGACAACACGGCGCAGCGGAUGAAAGUCUCGAGUUGGCUGAGAGCAGUGCAGUGCACUUGGCAAACUUACAAGAGUUGCACAACAAAGUCGCACACACACAUACACACAUGCACAAUCUCACAGUCGCAUACACACAGGCGCACACAAACGCGCGGACUUGGGGAGAUUGCUGUGCUCACACGCGCAUGAGAAGUAAAACGUUGAUGAUAAAUCACGCAUACGCCUGUUGGCCCGGCAGACAACACUACAAGUUCGUGUUCGUGUGCCACGUGUAUGUGUGUGCAUCUGUGUCGGUGUGAGUGACACGACUUGCAGUGUUCCUCGGCUUGUUUGCCAACUGCAGUGCAGUCUGCUCGCUUAUAGCCACAACUCGGACGAGUCGGCCGGCAGGCAAUUGGCACGAACGAUGCCUCCUUUGGCUACUACACAAGGCAACGCGACAUUGGAUAACAGCACGACGACCAAUCAGAAGCGGCGACCAACCAGACCAACCACAGCCGAAGCUGAAACCCGUGAGCCGAAGUUAACGUGGCCAACGAUGCCAACUAACCCAAGCUGGCGACAUUUUGUACAUAGUACUAUAUAUGCAAGCAAAAUUAUUAAAUUUAGUUCAGUUUGUAAGAGUCUCAACUAAUUGUAAGUCACAUGCCGGAAGCGUUAGCCCACAGAAUAACAACUUAUGUGGGCAGUAAUAUGAAUGAAUACGAAUACUUAAUAUUCUUAAGAACAUGAAACGAAGAUUGCAAAAUGCGAAAACAUAAAUAAAGGAAACAAAAACCGUAAAGCUCACGAGCCGCACACCCAAAAA
This is a long non-coding RNA of Drosophila nasuta, 3056 nucleotides long. RefSeq lists it as uncharacterized. Lineage: Eukaryota; Metazoa; Arthropoda; Insecta; Diptera; Drosophilidae. The transcript is spliced from 2 exons. The record is from RefSeq and is a predicted model, not a curated record.